Molecule: ribosomal RNA, 465 nt
Filed under: uncultured bacterium
Lineage: Bacteria
Description: partial 16S ribosomal RNA
Rfam family: Bacterial small subunit ribosomal RNA
Source: RNAcentral
GACGAACGCUGGCGGCGUGCUUAACACAUGCAAGUCGAACGGAAAGGCCCUGCUUGCAGGGUACUCGAGUGGCGAACGGGUGAGUAACACGUGGGUGAUCUGCCCUGCACUUCGGGAUAAGCCUGGGAAACUGGGUCUAAUACCGGAUAGGAGCCAUUUUUAGUGUGAUGGUUGGAAAGUUUUUUCGGUGUAGGAUGAGCUCGCGGCCUAUCAGCUUGUUGGUGGGGUAAUGGCCUACCAAGGCGGCGACGGGUAGCCGGCCUGAGAGGGUGGACGGCCACAUUGGGACUGAGAUACGGCCCAGACUCCUACGGGAGGCAGCAGUGGGGAAUAUCGCACAAUGGGCGCAAGCCUGAUGCAGCGACGCCGCGUGGGGGAUGACGGCCUUCGGGUUGUAAACUCCUUUCGCUAGGGACGAAGCUUUUUGUGACGGUACCUAGAUAAGAAGCACCGGCUAACUACGUG